ACCUAGGUGGCUCAGUCCGUUAAGCCUCUGACUUCGGCUCAGAUCAUGAUCUCACUGUCUGUGGGUUCGAGCCCCGCUUUGGGCU
RNAcentral lists this transfer RNA (85 nucleotides) under Felis catus (domestic cat). It matches the Rfam family "tRNA". From Rfam's summary of the family: Transfer RNA (tRNA) molecules are approximately 80 nucleotides in length. Their secondary structure includes four short double-helical elements and three loops (D, anti-codon, and T loops). The record is from Rfam by way of RNAcentral. Lineage: Eukaryota; Metazoa; Chordata; Mammalia; Carnivora; Felidae.